GAUGAAGAACGUAGUGAACUGCGAUAAGUAAUGUGAAUUGCAGAAUUCAGUGAAUCAUCGAGUCUUUGAACGCACAUUGCGCCCCCUGGCAUUCCGGGGGGCAUGCCUGUCCGAGCGUCAUUGCUGCCCUUCAAGCCCGGCUUGUGUGUUGGGUCGUCGUCCCCCCCGGGGGACGGGCCCGAAAGGCAGCGGCGGCACCGCGUCCGGUCCUCGAGCGUAUGGGGCUUUGUCACCCGCUCGAUUAGGGCCGGCCGGGCGCCAGCCGGCGUCUCCAACCUUUUAUUUUACCAGGUUGACCUCGGAUCAGGUAGGGAUACCCGCUGAACUUAAGCAUAUCAAUAAGCGGAGGA
Molecule: unclassified non-coding RNA, 350 nt
Filed under: soil metagenome
Description: partial contains 5.8S ribosomal RNA, internal transcribed spacer 2, and large subunit ribosomal RNA
Rfam family: 5.8S ribosomal RNA (bases 1-120)
Source: RNAcentral